AAAGAUACAGAGAUUGAUAAUGGUCCUUAAAGAGAGUGUCUUAUGGAGGAAGGAAACAAAAGUUCAGCGAGGUUAUUAUGAGUCACUUUUUUUUUUUUUUUUUUUUUUUUUUGGCCUUUUAGGUCCACACCAGGCUAGGGGUCAAAUUGGAACAGCAGCUGCUGGCCUACACCACAGCCACAGCAACACAGCAAUGCCAGAUCCAAGCUGCAUCUGUGACCUACACCACAGCUCAUGGCAACACGGAAUGCUUAACCCACUGAGUGAGGCCAGGGAUCGAACCUGUGUCCUCAUGGAUACUAGUUGGGUUCAUUACUGCUAAGCCAUAAUGGAACUCCGGGAGUCGCUUUACGUUUCCUUAGAUCACAAAGGUCAAGAGUGGCAAAACAACCACAGCUUAUGUUUCCUGACUGCAGACUAAGUGUUUUUUCCACUCCAUAAUAUCUCAAAUGGUCUCCUGGAUUAAAGAGCACUUGCUCUGUGCUGGAAAUGCUUGACUUCUCACCAAAAAGACCCAUAAAGAAGAGCUCCAUCUCCUGGAGACACAGAUUAGGGUGUUGGUGCCUGGCACCUGCUACUGAAGAUGAGUAGUUUAAUCUGAGUAAAAGGUGAAUCAACUUCCAGAGCUGAACAUGAAGCUCCCGACUUAAAUAUGUGCUGAUCUUCGAUACAGAGGAGGCCUUGAGGGGAUGGUUUAGAUUGUAAUAGUUUUAAAAAUGUGGGUUGCAAAUGUUCAAGCUGUGCAUUCUAAUUUAGCCCUUGAAUCAUGUUUUAUUACUUUCUCUCACCUCUGAGGAGGGCCAUUAUUAUGCCUCCGGGUGAGAGAUACGGUGUAUUUGCCCUCUUUAGAAAGACAAUAAAAUCAGGUUUUAUGGGGAGAGAUAAUGAGAGUUUGCUGUAGCUUUUAGCUGCAGAGGUUUUGUUUUGUUUACUAUAUGAAGGUUACGCCUGGGAAAAUAAUUCACAGGUUCUUCCUAGUAUAGAAAAUGUAGCCCUCCUGCCCACAACAGCCAGGACACAAGUCUUCUUGAUCCAUAUAUCAAGGGGGCUGCAAUGUCAAGGAAAUAAGAAAUACUCACCUUUCCUAACUGAAGGGAUUGUGGGAAGAAAUGAGAAUGGACCAAAGAGGUUAGUUAGUCACCUUAAGUUUCCUUAAAUCAUGGAGGUCAGAGAAAGAGGAUGGGAAGUGUGUGUUCUGCUCUCCCCUCUCCUGGGGAGAGCCUAAAACCUGGAGAAGAAAGCCAAGAAGAAGGGAGAUUUCUACCUUCCUUCUCAGUUAAGACUCUGAAAAGGGACAGCCACGUCUUGGCAAGCUGGUGGUCCUUACAGUUAAUAGAGGGAGGACUUGACUUCGAAUUUCUCCAGGCAGCUCUCUGUCCCAGGGUCCAAGAGUUCCCGAAGCUCCAGGAGAACUUGGAACCUGCAGCCCUGUCAUACACCUGCUGUGGCAAAGGAUGAGGUGCCCUCAAGGUAGAGCCAAACAGUCAAGGGGCCUAAGUGGGAGAUGGAGCAGAAACUCAGGUGAUCUGUAGGACCAGACAGAGCCAAAUGAGACUAAGAGAGCCAAGGAGAAACCCAGGCCCUGGCCAAGCCAAGAGACAGCAGAUUAUAAAUCACAACAGCUAUAGCCUGUUAAAGGCUGAAGGUACUGAAAUGUUCUCCCACUUGGGCCAAACAUCACAAGCAAGACAGCAUUGCUCUGUCCCUUUCCUAUGGUUGCAUAUCAGCCUAGCUCUCCUUUGCUAUUUGAUUCAUUAAUAAUCUUUUUAUGUCCCUAUUUCUCAGGGACCUGAUAGGAAUUCCCUGUGGUACCAAAGCAGAAACAACUUGACCAGCACUGACUAAAAAAAUCUUCUCUUUCUGUUAAUUCCCAGCAGGUGUACCCCAAACAUUUUCCCAAGCUUCUGCACCCCAAAACAUUUUCAUUCUUUGGGGGCAUGCCUUCCGUGUCUGGCAUGUUACCUGGGCGGUCCAAAGGAGACUGUUGGUCUCCCCAGUUGGAGAAGUCUUAGCCGCUGGGAAGAGCCGUCAAGUCCUAAUUCACUCACCUAAGAUGCAUCAGGCUUUCAUGCUAAUUGGAUUCUCAUCAACCUGGACAUGCAUAACCCGGACAUGCCCUCACAUGCUCCAACUGGCAGUAAGUACGCAGCUAGGUCCUGACUCCUAGACUCUCGCCAUUGUUCUGAGGAACUUCAAUAGAGGUAAUGACGCUCCAAGGAGAGAUAGGGUACAAGGGCCUGCAAGGAACACCCCUCAUGAACCUCUUUCUGCCAGGCAGUGGGAGUAGAGAUGGCGGCAGGUCCAAGACGCUUCUCCACUCUGUCUCCCUCCACUGGCCUGGAGAAUUGGUGGAGUCUGUGGAGGACAAGAGACUUAAUGUUCAUUAAUUAGGUAGGUAGGUAGUAAGAUCUACGGAUGGUAACUUGGCCGCACACCCUAGGUUUAAAUGCCAUCUCUGCCACUUACCCUGUGGCAUUGGAAAAGUUGCAGAACCUCUCUGAGCUGGAUAUUCUUAUCUGUGAAAUGACAUUAACAACAAUACCCACCUCAGAGGUUGGUUGCAGGCCUUAAAUGAAGCUGCGAGAUAAUCCAUGUAAAGUAUAAAGUGUCUGACUCAUAGGAGGAUAAAAAAUGUUAUCUGUGAUUAUGAUCGGAAUAAGGGCUUUAGCUUGCUCCAAGAGAUAAAGUUUAAAUAACUCUGGAAAUCUAUACAUUUCCACACCCAGAUAGUACCAGUCAAUAUCAAAUCAUCUUGAAUGUAUAUAUAUUUUUUAUUUUAUUUUUUUUUUUGUCUUUUGUCUUUUUGUUGUUGUUGUUGUUGCUAUUUCUUGGGCCGCUCCCGCGGCAUAUGGAGGUUCCCAGAAAAGGCAAAAAAAAAGACCAAAAAAUAAAAAAAUAAAUAAAAUAAAUAAAUUACCAUAAUGGCUUUGUCUGUUAUUAACAGUAACACUUUGGUGGUGUCCCCUGCCACAGCAUCACAAAACCUCGUUUCCUUCAUAUGGAAAUUGCAUCAAGGAAUACUUUUUAGUCUAUCACUAAGCACUAAGAACUUUGGUUACUUAGUAGAGCCAGAGGGAAAAGCCCUACAAGGGCGCAUUCUCUAAGAGAGACUUUCUCUGUCAGGGCCACCAUGUUGCACAACUCUGAGGGACCUCGUUGCUCAGAUUUGUGUGAAUGUGUCACCUACAGUGUGCAGUAGUAACCAGCAUGGCUUUUAUGCAUUGGCCCCAUAAAAUGUAAUUUUACUAGCGUUCCCGCUGUAGGUUACUGGUGCCAUGGGUUAAGAACCGGACUGCAGCAGCUCACGUUGCUGCAGAGGUAUGUUUUGAUCCCCAGCCUAGUGCAGUGGGUUCAA
RNAcentral lists this long non-coding RNA (3355 nucleotides) under Sus scrofa (pig). RNAcentral describes it as "lncRNA (ENSSSCG00000061377.1)". The record is from RNAcentral. Lineage: Eukaryota; Metazoa; Chordata; Mammalia; Artiodactyla; Suidae.